UUCCCUGUAGCUCAGUUGGUAGAGCAUGGUGUUUGCAAUGCCAGGGUUGUGGGUUCGAUUCCCUCAGGGGGUC
This 73-nucleotide transfer RNA is filed under the name Salmo salar (Atlantic salmon). It matches the Rfam family "tRNA". Rfam says of the family: Transfer RNA (tRNA) molecules are approximately 80 nucleotides in length. Their secondary structure includes four short double-helical elements and three loops (D, anti-codon, and T loops). Lineage: Eukaryota; Metazoa; Chordata; Actinopteri; Salmoniformes; Salmonidae. The record is from Rfam by way of RNAcentral.